Molecule: long non-coding RNA, 540 nt
Filed under: Brassica rapa (field mustard)
Lineage: Eukaryota; Viridiplantae; Streptophyta; Magnoliopsida; Brassicales; Brassicaceae
Description: long non-coding RNA (BRAP_LNC003661)
Source: RNAcentral
AUAGUACAAAUGUAUAGUUCUGCAACUUGACAUAAUUAAUAUAGUUACCAAAAGUUAUAUUAACUUAGAUAUGAUUACAGAAAAACACAAAUAUAAAAAUUAAAAACAAAAAAAAUAUACUCGCCAUUUAAAAGUGCGCAUCAGAAUCUAGUAUUCAUAUAAUUUAGCAUUAUUUAUUUAUAGUUAUAUUUUCAAAUACUUAUAUAAUUUGAGAUUUAUUUUUUAAAAGAAAAUCAAUAGUUACAUGUCUUUAAUAACAAAAUUUAUACAUGAAAAAAAGAAAAAGAAAAAUGCAUACAUGGUUUUCUCAACAAAAACAUACAUGAUCUUCAAAUAGCCCGAAACGACUUCGUAAGGAUCUAAUUUUACUAUCCUUGCUGGCAGUUAUACGAUUAUUGAUUAUUUUUUCUUAGGGCCUGACUGGUUCAAACGCAUCGAUUGCGGUUGCGGGAGUUUGUGGAUGCGGGCAGUUGCGGUUUCUAGCGGUUUUAAGAGAUUUGUAUGACUGGUACUGCGGUUAAAAAUUAGUGCGUUUGCGGG